GCCGGCAGCUAGCUCUCUGCAACUCUCACAUGGUUGCCCACUGAAGCUAAGCAGGGCUGCGCCUGGUCAGUACCUGGAUGGGAGACCACAUGGGAAAGCUAGGUUGCUGCCGGAA
This is a non-coding RNA of Danio rerio (zebrafish), 115 nucleotides long. The record is from Rfam. NCBI's taxonomy places the organism in Eukaryota, Metazoa, Chordata, Actinopteri, Cypriniformes, Danionidae.